CCGCCACCAGCAUGUUCUGGGGCGAAGGCGCUGGUGAAUGGAGGAGCAUAAUCAACCGCCCAUCUUUGCCGGCAAAGGUUCAACCACCUAUAUCCAAAUCACCUUGAACAUCGCCCAGAUCUGGGUUUUGGUGGCGAGGCCGAGAAGCAACUUUUUCCACCUUACCUUGAACAUCACCGGUGAAGAGGAUAGAAAGGUAAUCGGAGAACUGGACGUGUUGUUCACCCCUCUUCCUAUCCCUGCUUCUGCAAGAUCAAGCUGAAUCACUUUCCUUCAUCCUUACUUGGACCAAUCUACUCUCCAAAGCUUCAAAGAUUCAUCAUCAUUGGCUCCA
This 334-nucleotide long non-coding RNA is filed under the name Lotus japonicus. Its description in RNAcentral is "long non-coding RNA (LJAP_LNC000123)". The record is from RNAcentral. Lineage: Eukaryota; Viridiplantae; Streptophyta; Magnoliopsida; Fabales; Fabaceae.